GGUUGAUCCUGCCAGUAGUCAUAUGCUUGUCUCAAAGAUUAAGCCAUGCAAGUCUAAGUAUAAAUCAUUUUAAAUAGUAAAACUGCGGAUGGCUCAUUAAAUCAGUUAUAGUUUAUUUGACAAACUCUUUUACUUGGAUAACUGUAGUAAAUCUAGAGCUAAUACAUGCGAAAAGAUCUGGUUCCAUCUUUGAUGGAAGAAGAUUGUAUUUAUUAGACUAAAAACCAUAUUUUUUUUUUAAUAUUGUUGCGGCGUUUAAAAUGAUUGAUUGAAUUUAUAUUAUAAACUAAA
Molecule: ribosomal RNA, 291 nt
Filed under: uncultured eukaryote
Lineage: Eukaryota
Description: partial 18S ribosomal RNA
Rfam family: Eukaryotic small subunit ribosomal RNA
Source: RNAcentral